AUUGAACGCUAGCGGGAUGCUUUACACAUGCAAGUCGAACGGCAGCGCGGACUUCGGUCUGGCGGCGAGUGGCGAACGGGUGAGUAAUGUAUCGGAACGUGCCCAGUAGCGGGGGAUAACUACUCGAAAGAGUAGCUAAUACCGCAUACGCCCUACGGGGGAAAGGGGGGGAUCGCAAGACCUCUCACUAUUGGAGCGGCCGAUAUCGGAUUAGCUAGUUGGUGGGGUAAGGGCUCACCAAGGCAACGAUCCGUAGCUGGUUUGAGAGGACGACCAGCCACACUGGGACUGAGACACGGCCCAGACUCCUACGGGAGGCAGCAGUGGGGAAUUUUGGACAAUGGGGGAAACCCUGAUCCAGCCAUCCCGCGUGUGCGAUGAAGGCCUUCGGGUUGUAAAGCACUUUUGGCAGGAAAGAAAUUGCGCGGGUUAAUAACCCGUGUAGAUGACGGUACCUGCAGAAUAAGCACCGGCUAACUACGUGCCAGCAGCCGCGGUAAU
This 501-nucleotide ribosomal RNA is filed under the name uncultured bacterium. Its description in RNAcentral is "bacterial SSU rRNA". It matches the Rfam family "Bacterial small subunit ribosomal RNA", at positions 30 to 524 of the family's 1533-position model. The record is from RNAcentral.